UCAGAGCCGGCAGCCAGCCAAUCAGGCUCCUGCUAAUCAGACAUGCUGAAUAACAAAGCCAGGGGGACAGAGAAAGUGUAACAGUGCGAGCGAGAAAGGGAGGAAAGGACGAAAAAGAAAGGAGAGCGGAGGAGCGCGCGCAGCAGAACCAGAAGAGAAAUGCAAACGAUGCAGAAUUGCAAAAGAUGAAGCAGAGCCCUGUGCUGUUAACUAACCUGCCCUCAGCCAUAUGUUGAAUGCUCAGAGGACGCCUGCCACAAUGUGUCAAGCUUCUGGUCCCUUUGUGAGUAGCGUUUCCCUUCCAGAGAAAUGAGGAAAAGGAACUGUACAGUCAAGCAUUAUACCCUGCAGUGCAAACUCCCUGCUGGCUGUAAUUUCAGAAAAAGAAGAACAGAAUCAAGUUGCGUUAUGGUGAUUGGGGUAAGCCAAUGUUGGAGGAGCAUAGAUUUUGGAAUCAGAAAGACCUGAGUUCAAAUCCCAUCUCCACCACUGAGCAGCUACAUGAACUUGGGAAAGUUCAUUGGUCUCUCUGAACUCCUACUUUUUUGUCCGUAAAAGGGAAAUAUUACCUGUUAGCUCAAAAGAUCAAGGACUGCAUGAAGAUGAAAUGUGAUGGUAAUGUAAUGUGCUUAGCACACUGCCUGGCAUUCAUUCAAUGAGACGUGAUGAAGCGUCUGGGAGCCAGGGGACUCAGGAUACAGUUGCAAACAAAGUACAAUGUGUAUUUCCCAAGGGUCCUCCCCAACAAACCUUCUGCAGGU
Long non-coding RNA from Mesoplodon densirostris (Blainville's beaked whale), 761 nucleotides. RefSeq lists it as uncharacterized. The transcript has 5 exons. Lineage: Eukaryota; Metazoa; Chordata; Mammalia; Artiodactyla; Ziphiidae. The record is from RefSeq and is a predicted model, not a curated record.